Molecule: ribosomal RNA, 445 nt
Filed under: uncultured bacterium
Lineage: Bacteria
Description: bacterial SSU rRNA
Rfam family: Bacterial small subunit ribosomal RNA
Source: RNAcentral
CCCAGACUCCUACGGGAGGCAGCAGUGGGGAAUAUUGCACAAUGGGGGAAACCCUGAUGCAGCGAUGCCGCGUGGAGGAAGAAGGUUUUCGGAUUGUAAACUCCUUUUAUCAGGGACGAUAAUGACGGUACCUGAAGAAAAAGCUCCGGCUAACUACGUGCCAGCAGCCGCGGUAAUACGUAGGGAGCGAGCGUUGUCCGGAUUUACUGGGUGUAAAGGGCGUGCAGCCGGAGAGACAAGUCAGAUGUGAAAUCCACGGGCUCAACCCGUGAACUGCAUUUGAAACUGUUUCCCUUGAGUGUCGGAGAGGUAAUCGGAAUUCCUUGUGUAGCGGUGAAAUGCGUAGAUAUAAGGAAGAACACCAGUGGCGAAGGCGGAUUACUGGACGAUAACUGACGGUGAGGCGCGAAAGCGUGGGGAGCAAACAGGAUUAGAUACCCCCGUA